ACACAUGCAAGUCGAGGGGCAGCAUUUUUGAAGCUUGCUUCAAAAGAUGGCGACCGGCGCACGGGUGAGUAACGCGUAUGGAACCAACCCGCAACAGGGGGAUAACCCGGAGAAAUCCGGACUAAUACCGCAUGGUACUCUUUGCACAGAAGUGUGAAGAUUUAAAGAUGCGAAUCGGUUGCGGACGGUCAUGCGUUCCAUUAGCUAGUUGGCGGGGUAACGGCCCACCAAGGCGACGAUGGAUAGGGGUUCUGAGAGGAAGGUCCCCCACACUGGUACUGAGACACGGACCAGACUCCUACGGGAGGCAGCAGUGAGGAAUAUUGGUCAAUGGGCGAGAGCCUGAACCAGCCAAGUCGCGUGAGGGAAGACGGCCCUAUGGGUUGUAAACCUCUUUUAGAUGGGAGUAAAGUGUUCUACGCGUAGGAUAUUGCAAGUACCAUCAGAAUAAGCAUCGGCUAAUUCCGUGCCAGCAGCCGCGGUAAUACGGAAGAUGCGAGCGUUAUCCGGAUUUAUUGGGUUUAAAGGGUGCGUAGGCGGGUGAUUAAGUCAGCGGUGAAAUGCGUCAGCUUAACUGGCGAACUGCCAUUGAAACUGGUUACCUUGAGUGUAGCGGAAGUAUGCGGAAUGCGUGGUGUAGCGGUGAAAUGCAUAGAUAUCACGCAGAACUCCGAUUGCGAAGGCAGCAUACCAUACUAUAACUGACGCUGAAGCACGAAAGCGUGGGUAUCGAACAGGAUUAGAUACCCUGGUAGUCCACGCAGUAAACGAUGAAUACUCACCGUUUGCGAUAUAAUGUAAGCGGUAAAGCGAAAGCGUUAAGUAUUCCACCUGGGG
This 837-nucleotide ribosomal RNA is filed under the name uncultured bacterium. RNAcentral's name for it is "bacterial SSU rRNA". It matches the Rfam family "Bacterial small subunit ribosomal RNA", at positions 51 to 878 of the family's 1533-position model. The record is from RNAcentral.